RNAcentral lists this transfer RNA (67 nucleotides) under Marmota monax (woodchuck). RNAcentral's name for it is "tRNA.Ala". It matches the Rfam family "tRNA", at positions 6 to 65 of the family's 71-position model. Rfam says of the family: Transfer RNA (tRNA) molecules are approximately 80 nucleotides in length. Their secondary structure includes four short double-helical elements and three loops (D, anti-codon, and T loops). Lineage: Eukaryota; Metazoa; Chordata; Mammalia; Rodentia; Sciuridae. The record is from RNAcentral.
GGUUGUGGCUCAGUCGUAGAGCACUUGCCUAGCAUGUGUGAGACACUGGGUUCGAUCCCCAGCACUA